UACAGAGGUCUCAAGCGUUAUCCGGAUUUAUUGGGCGUAAAGCGUCCGCAGGUGGCUUGGCCAGUCAGGAGUUAAAACCUACCGCUUAACGGUAGGACUGCCUUUGAUACUACUAAGCUAGAGUAUGGAAGAGGUGAGCGGAAUUCUCGGUGUAGUCGUAAUAAGCGUUGAUAUCGAGAAGAACACCAAAUGCGAAGGCAGCUCACUGGUACAUUACUGACACUCAUGGACGAAAGCAUGGGGAGCGAACAGG
Molecule: ribosomal RNA, 253 nt
Filed under: uncultured bacterium
Lineage: Bacteria
Description: partial 16S ribosomal RNA
Rfam family: Bacterial small subunit ribosomal RNA
Source: RNAcentral